ACGCGAAAACUUUACAAUGCUGGCAACAGCGAUAAGGGAACCUCGAGUGCCAGGUUACAAAUCUGGCUGUCGAGAUGCCUAAAAAGCAUUUCAUAGCAAGGGCCGGGCAAGACCGGUGCCAGCCGCCGCGGUAACACCGGCGGCUCGAGUGGUAACCGUUAUUAUUGGGUCUAAAGGGUCUGUAGCCGGCCGGAUAAGUCUCUUGAGAAAUCUGGCAGCUUAACUGUCAGGCUUUCAGGAGAUACUGUCUGGCUCGAGGCCGGGAGAGGUGAGAGGUACUUCAGGGGUAGGGGUGAAAUCUUGUAAUCCUCGAAGGACCACCAGUGGCGAAGGCGGCUCACCAGAACGGACCUGACGGCAAGGGACGAAAGCUAGGGGCACGAACCG
RNAcentral lists this ribosomal RNA (387 nucleotides) under uncultured bacterium. RNAcentral's name for it is "bacterial SSU rRNA". It matches the Rfam family "Archaeal small subunit ribosomal RNA", at positions 339 to 726 of the family's 1478-position model. The record is from RNAcentral.